UCCUACGGGAGGCAGCAGUGGGGGAUAUUGCACAAUGGGCGAAAGCCUGAUGCAGCGACGCCGCGUGAGGGAAGACGGUCCUCUGGAUUGUAAACCCCUGUCCUCAGGGAUGAAAAUGACGGUACCUGAGGAGGAAGCUCCGGCUAACUACGUGCCAGCAGCCGCGGUAAUA
RNAcentral lists this ribosomal RNA (172 nucleotides) under uncultured bacterium. Its description in RNAcentral is "partial 16S ribosomal RNA". It matches the Rfam family "Bacterial small subunit ribosomal RNA", at positions 337 to 525 of the family's 1533-position model. The record is from RNAcentral.